CCUUAUGCAUUUAUCCUUAUAUUUUUUGUCAGUAGAAUAAAUCCCUAGGUGUGUGAUUUUUAGGUCAAAGAGUAUGUUCAUUUAAAAUUCUGAUCCUAUUUCCAAGUUGUUCUCCAAACUGGCAGACCCAGCCAGUUCUCUCUCCCUGACAACAGUGGAUAAAUACUGCUGUUGUCCCAUCUGCUCCAACACCACGUAGUAUCAGACUUUUUGAUCUUGGUUAUUAAGGAUCGGUAUCUCUGUGUUCAAUUGACGCAGUUUCCUUGGGAACCUUUCCUGGGGUCAGACCUGGCAAGUCCCGGUUGGAGACGAGCCUGGAACCCGGCCCAGCUAGCCGGCACCACGCCCCCGACAGCACCCAAGGCUCCACUCGCUGCUCCCUGGCUUUCUGCGUUUUCCUUUCUCCCCCACAAGUUUCUGAUUCCUGGAACCAGACUCAGUGACCUCACGCCGGUGACUUCACAUCCGGGACCUUCUGGGAAUUCUCAGCAGCACUUUUUCACACUGGGCCUACUAUAGAGAAGACCAGAGAGACCUAUAGAGAAGACCAGGCCAAAGUCAAGGGCUGGGGCAGGAAAUACAUUUACCAGGAGAAGAGCUGGGCUUGAAUGACUCCUUGAAAGGUGAGAGAGGAGCCUUUCUAGAACGUGUGACCCAUAACCCUUCAUCCUCGCGCAAAAUGUACUGAACAGAACUUGAGUUCAAAUGCCGGGUCCACCAGGAAGUGACAGGGUUUACUCAUCCAUGAGACAGAUUAGAUGUGUUUUCCAAAGAGGGCCACUCUGAUAUCUCCCAUCCCAUAUGUUGUCCUUAUAAUGUGUUUGACAUUUUUCCAAUCAAGAGAAAGGCAUCUAAGUGCUAUCCCCUUAAAUCUAGGCAGGCUUGUGACUGUAGUGAAAGGACACUUUGUGACUUCUGAGGCUGCAUCUAAAAGGCAAUCUGGCUUCCACUUCUGGAGACAUUGGGACGCAGCCACCAUGCUAUGAGGAAGCCCAAGCAGCCGGGGGAGAGAUUCAUCUGGAGAUGAACCAAGGCCCCCAGCCCACAGUGCUGGCUGCACUCCCAGUCAACAGCUAUCAUCCACUUGCUAGCCUUAAUAGUGAACCAUCUUGGAAGCAGAUAUUCCAGUGUCAAGCUGAGCUGUCCCAGCUGAUACCACACUGAGCAGAGAUGAGCUGUCCCUGAUUGCUGAACUGUGAGCAAAAUAAAUAUUUGUCAUUAUUUGAAGCCAUUUGAAUUUGGGGCUGGUUUGUUAUGCAGUAAUGGAGAGAUAUAAUCCAUUAAAUUAAUAUUUACGGGGGCCUGCUCUGUGCUGGGCUCUUUGCCAGGAGAGCUGGGGCUAUAGGAUGAACAGGACAGACACCGUUUGUGCUAUCAUGGAAUUGAUUGUUCAGCUGGGAAACUACACUGUAAUCAGGGUGCACUGAUUCACUGGCUGGCUGAGCUAAGCUUGAAGCUGUGACGAGGUUCCCAGGUUCCAGGUACCUUGCCUUUUUGCUUUUUCUCCAAGUGUCAACAUUAAAUGUAUUGCAUAUACUAAUAGUCUCCCUUUCCCCAGAGCCAUUGUGAAGCUCCAAUGGGAUAAGGGCUAUUAAGGACACCCAGGAAGCUGGGAGGGGCCCAGGGGCAGUGCUGGGGUGACUAUGUGCCAUCAUACCAUCUCUAGAGGCCUUGCCUCAGCCCCGUCACUGGGGCACCAUUUCUUAUCUCUUGCUAUCACAUCGGCACCCCAGCACUUCCUCAAGCUUCUGUUCUUGGUGGCUUCCCUGCCGCCCCCAGGCACAGACAGCAAGAGCAGUCUCUUUAAAAUGCCUGUGUGUUCACACUGUCCAUCUGCUUAAACCACUUCAAGGCUUUCCACCCCUGUGCUAUAGGAUCCAAGUCUUUGCUGAGGCUCACAAAGCUCUGUGCGAGGGCCUCACCCGCCCUACCUCUGUCCUCAACCCGGUCUCAGAGCACUCUCUCCUUCCCUUGCUUUCCUGUCCCCAGAAUGCACAAUGCUCUCUCUCCUACUUCAGGGUCUUAGCACCUGCUGUUCCUUAUGCUGAGCUACUGGGGUCAUCUCAGCCCCCUCUUCUACCCCACCUGCCUGUAACAUUUACAGAGGCAAGAGAAUAAAUGAAUUCUGGCUCCAUCUCUCCUUUCUUCCUGUCCCUGGUUCUGCCCUGCACCACGAAGGGACUGUGCAUACGUGUGGACACCCCAGACUGCAGGUCCAAGCUGCACCCAUGAACUCUCUUUGACCGCCCCCAGGCCUAAAGGUAUAUGCCUUAGUAGAAUAGUCUGCCCUUGGGUGGACGGACCUAGAAAAGAAACCCGCACAGUUCCUGGAAGUGAGCUGGGGAGUUUGAGUGGCGGAUACUGGCGUCCCAAGGUACCUUGAGAUGGAGAGAGACAUCUUAAAAGGACUUGCCCAAGGGGCUGCCGGGAGGGCCAAUGGGAGCUUAAAAGAUUUGUGGAGGUGAUCUCCCAGGACCAAUGACUGAACAGGGUUGUCAAGAGCAGACUGGAAAGUGCAUCACCUUGUCAGUAGCUGCAGGGGGUGUGGGAUGUGAAAAUCCCCAAAAAUCCUUCAGAAUGCCCCGCGAUAGAGUCAGCCUUGAAUACCUGCCAACUCUGGGAGUGAUGCAUUAGGGAAGUCCCUGGUAUUCGAUCUCUUUCCUGCCCCUUAUCUGUCUCCCCGCCCCAUCCCCUGUGCUUUGACCCUAGAGGGGUCAGAAAACUUGGAGUGCAAGCCGAGCAGGCAGGGGAGAGGGCAAGGCAGAGAUGUGGAAGGCUGCCCUGGCUGGGGUUGGAAACUCAGAGGGGAAGGGGAGGAUAGCUGGCUUCCUCACUGUUUCUUCUUCCUACUCUUCAUUCCUCUUUACCCACUCACGGUGCCACUCCUGACUCUCCUACGGUGUGGCAAGGAGGGGGAGGAGCAGAAAAGGAGCAGACAAGCAGGGCUGAUGCUCUCUGGGUGGGUCAGGUGCCCAAAUGCUGGCUCUUUCUCUGAGGUGUGCUGGUGGGUGCACUGGCGACACCACCCACAGGCACAAUAUUCACUGACAAAGGUGACGUAGCCUCAAGCCACCUGCUUACAGCGGCUCCCCACCUGCACAGGCUCUUGCCUGCUGGCAUCCUCUUGAGUGGGCGCUCAGGAGACCCUAGCGUCUCUCUUUACUCUUGCACCCCAGUCAGCACCAGGGGACUCAGGCCAAGCUCUCCCACUGGCUCUCUUGAAGGCCUCCUGUCACACUUAAGAGGAGGGGAGGGACCACUCUUUCGUUUAAGAAAUGCUCUUUCUAGCUUCACUCCUACUCCCAUGCUUCUCCCAAUACAGCCUGGCGGCGGGUGAUGGGCUGACAGUCAAGAGCCAACUUACUUGGCAUCUUUCUGCAAGUCUGCACUUCACUCCAGAGUGUGGGGCAUUCGGAUGCAUUUUUCUUACCUCUGGACCUUUGACCAAAAUUGCAGACAGAAAAGGAUCCCUGAAAAGUCAUGCUACAUGAAGAAUGAUUUUGCAGCUGUGGGGAUCCAAAAUGCACUUGAAUGACAUAAAGAUUCUUUUAAGCUAAAAACAUCUAAACAAACAGCAGCUGCAGGACACACACACAGACACAGAUACACACAUACAAACACAUAAACACAUGAUUGUGCAAAAAAAAAAAAAAAAAACUUACCUAAACUUCCUUUGCCACCAUAAAUCCCCUCUCUAGGAGGUCUAUAGCCAGAAGAGACUAACCACUGUCACCACAGUGAGUAAUUGCUUAGACAAACUUUAUCUGAAACUACCAUGCCUUCCAUUUGUUCUUCCAUAGCAGUCCUUUUUCCCUUAUUAAGUGGGUAUACAGACCCCUAUUUUUGGCUGUUUCGGGAGCUGAUUCAUCUAAAGCCUCCCUCAAAUAAAGGAACUUCAUUUCUUUUUCCUGUGAAUCUGUUGUUAAUUUGUAGGCCCUGAACCUAAAUACGUAGAGGAAAAGUUUUUCCUCCCAACACAUCUUUCUGUUGUCAACGAGAGUACAGAUGACUGUCUAAGAUUUUCUAUCUGGUCCCAGAUAGCAUCUUCCUGCUCUGCCAAUGCUCCUGCCUAGCAGUCUCUUGCUCUCUCUUAUGCAUGUUAAUUGGAUUGGAAGAAGAGAUGGGAAAAAGAGGCCAUAUAGGAGACUAUACUACUAAAUUUACUACUGAAGGGUGGCAGAAUAUGCCAGCCCAAAAUGGGGCACUUUGGCAUAAGGAUUGUAAGUAUUUUGAGCUAGGGGUAAUUGAGAAGAAGCGGAUACUGGAAAAGCCCUCUGCCCUUCCCUUAUUUGUACAUAACUUUACAAAGGUGUCCCUCCUCUCUUCUCCAGCAGGAAGGACAAAGGUUGAAGACAACUUUGGAUCCCAUCAACCUGGAGAUGGCACCGGAGGAAUCUGCAUAACAAACUUUACUAACUAGCUUUCGUCUACCAGGAAUUUCCUAUAUAUUUGCCUUCCCACAAUUUGCUGUCCCUGGAGACUCAAGGUCCUUUUUUUUUUUUUUGAGACAGAGUCUCACUCUG
This is a non-coding RNA of Microcebus murinus (gray mouse lemur), 4523 nucleotides long. The record is from RefSeq and is a predicted model, not a curated record. Lineage: Eukaryota; Metazoa; Chordata; Mammalia; Primates; Cheirogaleidae.